RNAcentral lists this ribosomal RNA (125 nucleotides) under Microcebus murinus (gray mouse lemur). Lineage: Eukaryota; Metazoa; Chordata; Mammalia; Primates; Cheirogaleidae. The record is from RNAcentral.
GUCUGUGGCCAUACCACCCUGAACACGCCUGAUCUCCUCUGAUCUCGGAAGCUCAGUCAGCCCUGGUUAGUACUUGAAUGGGAGAAAAGGCAGCUGUGUUGGGGGAAGGCAGGCUGUUUCAUAUU